GAUGAACGCUGGCGGCGUGCCUAAUACAUGCAAGUCGAGCGAACGGACGAGAAGCUUGCUUCUCUGAUGUUAGCGGCGGGCGGGAGAGGAACACGUGGAUAACCUACCUAUAAGACUGGGAUAACUUAGGGAAACCGGAGCUAAUACCGGAUAAUAUCUUGAACCGCAGGGUUCAAAAGUGAAAGACGGUCUUGCUGUCACUUAUAGAUGGAUCCGCGCUGCAUUAGCUAGUUGGUAAGGUAACGGCUUACCAAGGCCACGAUGCAUAGCCGACCUGAGAGCGUGUGGGCCCACAGUGGAGCUGAGCCGCCGUCCAGGCUCCUACGGGAGGCCGCGGCAGCGACUCUUCCGCACUGGGCGGAAGCCUGACGGAGCAGCGCCGCGCGAGUGCUGCAGGUCCUCGGGUCGUAUGACUCUGUUAUUGGUGAAGAACACAUGUGUCAGUAACUGUGCACUUCUUGACGGUACCUGAUCAGAAAGCAACGGCUAACUACGUG
This 497-nucleotide ribosomal RNA is filed under the name uncultured bacterium. Its description in RNAcentral is "partial 16S ribosomal RNA". It matches the Rfam family "Bacterial small subunit ribosomal RNA", at positions 28 to 507 of the family's 1533-position model. The record is from RNAcentral.